Molecule: RNA transcript, 1915 nt
Organism: Vigna unguiculata (cowpea)
Lineage: Eukaryota; Viridiplantae; Streptophyta; Magnoliopsida; Fabales; Fabaceae
Gene name: DNA gyrase subunit B, mitochondrial-like
Source: RefSeq, a predicted model, not a curated record
AAUAAUUAAAUAAUUACUAUUUUCGCGCUCCUCACAUUUUUUCAUUUUCCCUCUCGUUUCGUGUUUGCAAACUCCUUACCCAUUCUCAUUCUAGACCGGAUUGUUCGACGAGGUAUUGUCUUUAGUGAUAUUCAGUACUUCAACAGACCGAGUCGAAUCGCUAUGAGUCAAACUCGUUCAUUGCUGAGUUAUUAUCCGAGUCGUCAUUGUCCUCGAUGAAAUCAUUGACUAGUUAGGAGAGGCACGGCGAGUCGCCGUCACCGGAAUGUUCGCUCCCGCUGCUGGUGUAGAUUGGUUGCCGAUGGUCACCGCCAACUAGACGCACUUUGGCUUUGUCAUCGAACGGGAUACGUUAAAAGCUUCAAGUUUUCUUAGAAGGCUACAAUUGAACUGACGUUUAAUUGGGGUACUGAAAGUGAUCCAGAGUUCAAAGGAUACCACAAUGGCAAUUCUGAAACUCGUGGCUUUGGUGAAGCUACAACCUUUUUAACGAUGUUGCCUCUUUGAAGUUCCAACCUAUUUGUAAUUGUUGUUCUCUAUGCUUAACCUUAUUCUCAAUUUUGUACCAUCUUCAAGCCAGCGUGGAAGUGUUUGGUCAAGGCAGUUCUAGUGAGGUAAACUAUGCAAUUAACAUAUUAAAAGAUAUGGUUCUCUCAUUAUUAAAAUCAUGUCAUUUAUUUCAAAUAAUGGAACCUAGAUAUAGAACAUAAAGGUGACAAAGAAUGUCCAUUCUAUAAAUUUGAUUCUUUUUCUGAGUUUUUUUUUUUUUCAAUUUAUAAAGUAUUGUUGAAUUUGGCAGGAAGUGUGGUUAAAGGAAUUUAAAAGGAAAGGGAAGUGGAACAAAUAAUUUUGUUCUUCAUUUCAACCUCGUAUUUGCAAUCCCUAAGCGUAGUCUUCUUAUUGUUGUACCAUUUUCAAGCCAGAAAUCUUUAUAUUUAAAGGCGAUUCAGCUGGAGGAAGUGCUAAGCAAGGGCGUGACAGACACUUCCAGGCCAUUCUCCCUCUGAGGGGUAAGAUUCUGAAUAUUGAAAAGAGGGAUGAAGCAGCAAUGUACAAAAAUGAAGAGAUCCAAAAUUUAAUUUUCGGGCUUGAUCUUUGUGUGAAGGUUAAAAUACUUCCUGUUUCAUUAAUUUGCUAUUAAUGGCCGAGUUAAAGCACGCAAAUAAACUGAUAAAAUCCGACAAGAAAUUUCGCUACCUUAAGAACGUUAUAGUUACGAUCGCCGUUCACUGGGGUCAUCGGCUCCACUGUCAUCAAGUCACUAACUUCUUUGAUCUUCUAUCACUGGACAGGCGUCAAUAAUUAGUGAAAGUUCUGAAAGACAGGCCAUGAUUAAGUGUAAAUAAAUUAUAGAAUAUUACUAAAUUGAGAUAUCUUCAAUUGCUAAAUUGUAAGUUUUUGUCUUUGUCAUUUUCUUCUUAAUUAUAUUGAAACAGAAGUAAUUUGACAUAUGAUCUAGAGUCUAGUGGAAAAGUAACUUGUAUGAAGUUCAAAUUUGAAAAAGUAAAUUCAAUCUUUGAAUUGCUGAGAUUUCCAAAUGGAGGCCAACAAAAGAACCAAGUAACUUGGUAGAAGUUUUGUGCACUGUUGUCAUGGUAUUAUCUCAACCUUUUUGAGUUUCUGGGUAAAUUCAAUCACUAUUGAUCAUUGCAGCGGUGGAUGUUGUUGUCUACGGGAAAUUAAUAUUUAAAUUUUGUAACUUGAGGACGAUUGAAGUUCUGAUAUGAAAUUCAACGUGAUCAUGAUGGAUUUCGAAUGCUGAAAAGAAGGAUGUGGUGGUAAUGUCAUCAACAACCUAACACUCAUUGCUUGUUACAAAAGAUGGGAUUUUAGUGUUUAACUUUGAAAUAUUCAUCAGUUAUCACCAAUUAAAGUUGACAGAGAUUGAAAUGUCAAACUUGACUUAGCUUUGGUU